This 72-nucleotide transfer RNA is filed under the name Lepisosteus oculatus (spotted gar). It matches the Rfam family "tRNA". From Rfam's summary of the family: Transfer RNA (tRNA) molecules are approximately 80 nucleotides in length. Their secondary structure includes four short double-helical elements and three loops (D, anti-codon, and T loops). Lineage: Eukaryota; Metazoa; Chordata; Actinopteri; Semionotiformes; Lepisosteidae. The record is from Rfam by way of RNAcentral.
GACCUCGUGGCGCAACGGUAGCGUGUUUGAUUCCAGAUCAGGAGGCUGUGUGUUCAAAUCACGUUGGGGUCA